Long non-coding RNA from Tribolium castaneum (red flour beetle), 1119 nucleotides. RefSeq lists it as uncharacterized. Lineage: Eukaryota; Metazoa; Arthropoda; Insecta; Coleoptera; Tenebrionidae. The record is from RefSeq and is a predicted model, not a curated record. The transcript is spliced from 2 exons.
ACAGUAGAUAACGAAUGGGGGGACAACACAACACAACCUUGACCUUGAGUUUGACCCCGCCCAUUUUCCCUCUCUUUCUUUCAAGGCCACUCGUUCUCUCUCUUACUUUUUCAAGGCCAAUCCCUCCCACUUCCCCCACCACUUCAAGGCCAAGGCAAUAUUGGACCUUGAUGUUUUCAAGGCCAAGGUCCCCACUUUUGCAAGGCCAACAACUUCCCUCUUUAUUUAUCAUUCAAGGUCACUGCAGCUAAUAUAUAUAGAAUUCAAUACAAAUUCAAAAACAGUAUCUAAUAAGUAUUUCUCAAUAUUAAAGUAGUAAAAAAAUGUGGUAUCGUUUUACUUGUGAAGGUGUCAUAAUAGUGGAAGAAACGUGUUUCCACAACCAGUUAGGACACAUAUCUUUGGAAGGUGGUUGGGAACGUUUCUUUAAUAGAGUGGUUGUGUGUGAACAGUGUAGUACUAAGGACAUUUCUAUUAUUAAUCCAGAUGGGUGGAAUAAUUCUUUAAGUAUUGACAUUACUUGUAAUGAAGAAGAAUUUAAAGAGUUACUUAGAAAAUAUGGUUUCCUUUGUCAUAAGUGUAAAACUCCGUGCUACACAGCUAGCCAAGUGGAUCCGGAAAAUGCCCAAAAAAUUAUAGCUAUAUACCACUAACUUAAAUCAGCAUAAUGGAAGUUGACAAUGAUCCUUACUGCUACAUGCUCUUUUGCCUGUCUCCAAAGGACUGUAGUAACAGAAAAUUCUUUUGUUUGAAAUGUGUGAAGAUUAUGGCAGUGAGAUUUCACAUUUGUCAUCUACAUGUGACUUCAGUGUUAAACUACAAGUGUUUUUGGUGUAAUACAGUAAUAGGACAGAAUUCUCAGUUGUGUGGAAAUAAUUUAAUAAACAAAAUGACUGUUAAAAUAUGGUAUUUUAGUAGAGAGCGACAAAUGAUGUUUUAUGAUUCUGAUGACUAUGAUUCUGACGACUCAUCAAGUAGCUGUGAUAGUGGUAUAGAAUGUUAGUUAGUUAAUAAGAGUAGAAAUUAGAUAUAAACAACUUGUAACCUUAGAUUAAAUUAGUAUCUAGAUUGUUCUUUUGGUGUAUGGAUAAAAGUAAAUAAAUGAAGUUAUAUAAUAAA